This is a non-coding RNA of Podarcis lilfordi (Lilford's wall lizard), 77 nucleotides long. NCBI's taxonomy places the organism in Eukaryota, Metazoa, Chordata, Lepidosauria, Squamata, Lacertidae. The record is from the annotation of a GenBank genome assembly.
GCCUGGACCAUGCAAUUAGUCGGUACAGCAUGAGACUCCUAAUCUCAGGGUUGUGGGUUUGAGCCCCACGUUGGACG